GAAAUGCGAUAAGUAAUGUGAAUUGCGGAAUUCAGUGAAUCAUCGAAUCUUUGAACGCACAUUGCGCCCGUCAGCAUUCUGGCGGGCAUGCCUGUUCGAGCGUCAUUUCAACCCUCAGGACCCCCCUUUCGCGGGGAGGGACCUGGCGUUGGGGAUCGGCCCGCCCCCCGUGGCGGCGCCGUCCCCGAAAUCUAGUGGCGGUCUCGCUGCAGCCUCCCCUGCGUAGUAGUUACAACCUCGCAUCGGAGCGCGGCGCGGCCACACCGUAAAACCCCCGACUUUCUGAACGUUGACCUCGGAUCAGGUAGGAAUACCCGCUGAACUUAAGC
RNAcentral lists this unclassified non-coding RNA (329 nucleotides) under plant metagenome. RNAcentral's name for it is "partial contains 5.8S ribosomal RNA, internal transcribed spacer 2, and large subunit ribosomal RNA". The stretch from base 1 to 105 matches the Rfam family "5.8S ribosomal RNA", at positions 50 to 154 of the family's 154-position model. The record is from RNAcentral.